UACGGAGGGUGCGAGCGUUAAUCGGAAUUACUGGGCGUAAAGCGCACGCAGGCGGUUUGUUAAGCAAGAUGUGAAAGCCCCGGGCUCAACCUGGGAACUGCAUUUUGAACUGGCAGACUAGAGUCUUGGAGAGGGGGGGUGGAAUUCCAGGUGUAGCGGUGAAAUGCGUAGAGAUCUGGAGGAACAUCAGUGGCGAAGGCGGCCCCCUGGCCAAAGACUGACGCUCAUGUGCGAAAGUGUAGGGCAACAGAA
Molecule: ribosomal RNA, 252 nt
Filed under: uncultured bacterium
Lineage: Bacteria
Description: partial 16S ribosomal RNA
Rfam family: Bacterial small subunit ribosomal RNA
Source: RNAcentral